AACGAACGUUAGCGGCGCGCCUAACACAUGCAAGUCGCACGAGAAAGGGAGCAAUCCCCGGUACAGUGGCGCACGGGUGAGUAACACGUAGGUAAUCUGCCUCCGAGUGGUGGAUAACCUUCCGAAAGGAGGGCUAAUACAGCAUGAGACCACGACCACGAGAGUGGAUGGGGUCAAAGCCGGCCUCUAUACAUAAGCUGGCGCUUGGAGAUGAGCCUGCGGCCCAUCAGCUAGUUGGUAGGGUAAUGGCCUACCAAGGCAAAGACGGGUAGCUGGUCUGAGAGGAUGAUCAGCCACACUGGAACUGAGACACGGUCCAGACUCCUACGGGAGGCAGCAGUGGGGAAUCUUGCGCAAUGGGCGAAAGCCUGACGCAGCGACGCCGCGUGGGUGACGAAGGCCUUCGGGUUGUAAAGCCCUGUGGGGGAGGAAGGAAUAAGUAGGGUGCGGAAUAGCACACAUGAUGACGGUAUCCCUUAGCAAGCACCGGCUAACU
This 496-nucleotide ribosomal RNA is filed under the name uncultured bacterium. RNAcentral's name for it is "bacterial SSU rRNA". It matches the Rfam family "Bacterial small subunit ribosomal RNA", at positions 29 to 502 of the family's 1533-position model. The record is from RNAcentral.